AACUGCGAGUGAAGAGGGAAAAGCUCAAAUUUAAAAUCUGGCAGUGUUUCACUGUCCGAGUUGUAACCUAGAGAAGUGUAACCUGCGCUGGACCGUGUAUAAGUCUCCUGGAAUGGAGCAUCACAGAGGGUGAGAAUCCCGUCUUUGACAUGGACUACCAGUGCAUUGUGGUUGCGCUCUCAACGAGUCGAGUUGUUUGGGAAUGCAGCUCUAAAUGGGUGGUAAAUUCCAUCUAAAGCUAAAUAUUGGCGAGAGACCGAUAGCGAACAAGUACCGUGAGGGAAAGAUGAAAAGAACUUUGGAAAGAGAGUUAAAACAGUAUGUGAAAUUGUUGAAAGGGAAACGUUUGAAGUCAGUCGCGUUGGUUGGGGAUCAGCCUGACAUUGUUGGGUGUACUUCCUGGUCGACGGGCCAACAUCAGUUUUGACUGCCAGAAAAAGAUCAAAGGAAUGUGGCACCUUUGGGUGUGUUAUAGCCCUUGGUCGUAUAUGGUGGUUGGGACUGAGGAAAGCAGCGUGCCAAAAGGCCGGGUUUCGACCACGUUCACGCUGAGGAUGUUGGCAUAAUGGCUUUAAGCGACCCGUCUUGAAACACGGACCAAGGAGUCUAACAUGCAUGCGAGUGUUUGGGUGGAAAACCCUUACGCGUAAUGAAAGUGAAAGUUGAGAUCCCUGUCGCGGGGAGCAUCGACGCCCGGACCAGAACUUUUGGGACGGAUCCGCGGUAGAGCACGUAUGUUGGGACCCGAAAGAUGGUGAACUAUGCCUGAAUAGGGUGAAGCCAGAGGAAACUCUGGUGGAGGCUCGUAGCGAUUCUGACGUGCAAAUCGAUCGUCAAAUUUGGGUAUAGGGGCGAAAG
Molecule: ribosomal RNA, 858 nt
Filed under: Amanita citrinoannulata
Lineage: Eukaryota; Fungi; Basidiomycota; Agaricomycetes; Agaricales; Amanitaceae
Description: eukaryotic LSU rRNA
Rfam family: Eukaryotic large subunit ribosomal RNA
Source: RNAcentral